GUCCCGGGACUGGGAAGAAACGGCGGCCGGGAGGGGGCUCCGGGGACCAUGGGGCUCCUGACCAUUCUGAAGAAGAUGAAGCAGAAAGAGCGGGAGCUGCGACUGCUCAUGCUUGGCCUGGACAAUGCUGGAAAGACAACCAUCCUGAAGAAGUUCAAUGGGGAGGACAUCGACACCAUCUCCCCAACGCUGGGCUUCAACAUCAAGACCCUGGAGCACCGAGGAUUCAAGCUGAACAUCUGGGAUGUGGGUGGCCAGAAGUCCCUGCGGUCCUACUGGCGGAACUACUUUGAGAGCACCGAUGGCCUCAUCUGGGUAGUGGACAGCGCAGACCGCCAGCGCAUGCAGGACUGCCAGCGGGAGCUCCAGAGCCUGCUGGUGGAGGAGUGACCUGGGUUUACGCUUCACCACAGAGAAGGAACUUUUCAGACGCUCCCUUGGCCGCGCACCCGGGAUCGGAACAGCGCUGUCACUUGCGACAAAAUCCCUAGGCCAGAGGAAGAAGAGCGCAGGCCUGGCGAGGCGGCGGCGGGCGGAGGCUGGGCCGGAGGGGUGGGGACGGCGAGGAGGUGGAGGCCGGCGCUCCGCUCCGCUCCAGCUCGGUUUCAUGUCCCGCCAGGCGAAGGAUGACUUCCUGCGGCACUACACAGUGUCGGACCCCAGGACUCACCCCAAGGGCUACACCGAGUACAAAGUAACCGCGCAGUUCAUCUCAAAGAAGGACCCAGAGGAUGUCAAAGAGGUGGUGGUCUGGAAGCGGUACAGCGACUUCCGCAAGCUGCAUGGAGACCUGGCCUACACCCACCGCAACCUCUUCCGCCGCCUCGAGGAGUUCCCUGCUUUCCCCCGGGCCCAGGUGUUUGGCCGGUUUGAAGCCUCAGUGAUCGAGGAGCGGCGAAAGGGGGCAGAGGACCUGCUUCGCUUCACUGUGCACAUACCUGCGCUCAACAACAGCCCCCAGCUCAAGGAGUUCUUCCGGGGUGGGGAGGUGACCCGACCCUUGGAGGUGUCCAGGGACCUACACAUCCUGCCACCCCCUCUGAUCCCCACCCCGCCCCCUGAUGACCCCCGGCUAUCCCAACUGCUCCCUGCAGAAAGGAGGGGCCUCGAGGAAUUGGAGGUGCCAGUGGACCCCCCACCAUCCAGCCCUGCCCAGGAGGCCCUGGAUCUCCUCUUUAACUGUGAGAGCACCGAGGAGGCAUCUGGUUCCCCUGCCCGAGGCCCCCUCACCGAGGCUGAGCUUGCCCUCUUCGACCCCUUCUCCAAGGAAGAAGGCGCAGCCCCCAGCCCCACCCAUGUGGCUGAGCUGGCAACGAUGGAGGUGGAGUCUGCAAGGCUGGACCAGGAACCCUGGGAGCCAGGAGGGCAGGAGGAGGAAGAGGAUGGGGAAGGAGGGCCCACCCCUGCCUACCUAAGCCAGGCCACAGAGCUCAUCACCCAGGCCCUGCGGGAUGAGAAGGCAGGCGCUUACGCUGCUGCACUCCAGGGCUAUCGAGACGGCGUGCACGUCUUGCUUCAGGGAGUCCCCAGUGACCCGUUGCCUGCCCGCCAGGAAGGUGUGAAGAAGAAGGCAGCUGAGUACCUGAAGCGGGCAGAGGAGAUCCUGCGCCUGCACCUGUCUCAACUCCCACCCUAACAGGGAGUGGGCCAUUCCCUGGGACUCUCGCUCCUGCACUGCCAGCCCCUUCUCCUCUCCCCAGGGCCUGGCCCUACCUCCUGGUCUUGUAAUUACAGGAGCCAUUUCUGUAGGUAACUGGACCAAGAAUGAGAAAAAUAAUGAAUUCUUAGCUCCCUGAUUACACCUGCCACCUUGGAAUCAAGGACUCACACUUCUGACCCUGCCUGUCUUUUUGGGGUUUUUUUGAGUUGGAGUCUCGCUGUGUCGCCCAGACUGGAGUGCAGUGGUGGGAUCGCGGCUCACUGCAACCUCCACCUCCCAGGUUCAAGCAGUUCUCCUGUCUCAGCCUCCCCAGUAGCUGAGAUUGCAGGCACAUGCCACCACGCCCAGCUAAUAUUUUGUAUUUUCAGUAGGGACGGGGUUACACCAUGUUGGCCAGGCUGGUCUCGAACUCCUGACCUCAAGUGAUCCACCCGCCUCAGUCUCCCAAAGUGCUGAGAUUACAGGCAUGAGUCACUACGCCCGGCCCAUGUCUGUCUGUCUUGAUGUGUGAGCAGCAGCUGUGGUCAUUAAACCAUUAGUUUACCCCUCUAGAACUGGGGUCUGCAAACUCCCACCUGCAGCCAAAUCUGGCCCACCUCCUUUUUAAUGUAAGGGCUGUGAGAGUGGUUUUUACUUUUUUUAAUGAUUAAAAAAAUCAAAAUAAUAUUCUGUGACAAUGACAGGUGAAAUUUAUAUGUGACAAGUGAAAAUUAUAUGAAAUUUAAGAGUCCAUAAAUAAAAUUUGUUGGAACACAA
RNAcentral lists this long non-coding RNA (2416 nucleotides) under Homo sapiens (human). RNAcentral describes it as "ARL2-SNX15 readthrough (NMD candidate) (ARL2-SNX15)". Lineage: Eukaryota; Metazoa; Chordata; Mammalia; Primates; Hominidae. The record is from RNAcentral.